UUUAGUCUUGCUGAGUUUUUUUCGGUGCGUCACCAUGAAGCUCCAUGUUGCAUUCUUUCUGCUGGUCGCUGCUGUUGUGCUUCAAGAAGUGCAAGGCCAAAGGGAGCCUAUCGAGCCGUGUUUAACCUGGAUGAAGCCACAGCCCGUUUGUCCUGUUAACGAACGCUACACCUGCUGCAAAACUUGCUUCGAACAAACGUGUCGCUCAAGAAAUGUUGUUGUGAGAUGUGCUGGGCCCUGCAUUGGUGGAUGCAUUUGUAGAACUGGAUACAUACGUGCGAUUACCAAUGGACGGUGUAUUCCGACGUAUGCUUGUGGUAGACUGGAAAUCAUUUUUCCCUCGCUUGCCGCAAUUGAAGCUUGAAGUCAUGAGUUGAAUCUGGGAAGUUGUAAGUUGUAAGGUGUAAAGUAGUUCAAUAAACUAUUGAAGCUUCCUUUGUUAGCAAACGUGAAAAUAAAACCGAUGUUUAAAUUAAAAAA
Long non-coding RNA from Anopheles stephensi (Asian malaria mosquito), 480 nucleotides. RefSeq lists it as uncharacterized. The record is from RefSeq and is a predicted model, not a curated record. Lineage: Eukaryota; Metazoa; Arthropoda; Insecta; Diptera; Culicidae. The transcript has 2 exons.